UGCCAGACUCCUACGGGAGGCAGCAGUGAGGAAUAUUGGUCAAUGGGCGAGAGCCUGAACCAGCCAAGUCGCGUGAAGGAUGACGGCCCUACGGGUUGUAAACUUCUUUUGUCAGGGAGCAAUUGGGUCCACGCGUGGGCUUAGCGAGAGUACCUGAAGAAAAAGCAUCGGCUAACUACGUGCCAGCAGCCGCGGUCAUACGUAGGAUCCGAGCAUUAUCCGGAGUGACUGGGUGUAAAGAGUUGCGUAGGUGGCAUAAUAAGUAGCUAGUGAAAUCUGGUGGCUCAACCAUUCAGACUAUUAGCUAAACUGUUAAGCUCGAGACCGUUAGGGGUAACUGGAAUUUCUAGUGUAGGAGUGAAAUCCGUAGAUAUUAGAAGGAACACCGAUAGCGUAGGCAGGUUACUGGGACGGUUCUGACACUAAGGCACGAAAGCGUAGGGAGCAAACGGGAUUAGAUACCCUCGUAGA
Molecule: ribosomal RNA, 471 nt
Filed under: uncultured bacterium
Lineage: Bacteria
Description: bacterial SSU rRNA
Rfam family: Bacterial small subunit ribosomal RNA
Source: RNAcentral